This 1409-nucleotide ribosomal RNA is filed under the name Triticum aestivum (bread wheat). RNAcentral's name for it is "partial small subunit ribosomal RNA". The record is from RNAcentral. Lineage: Eukaryota; Viridiplantae; Streptophyta; Magnoliopsida; Poales; Poaceae.
CGGGAUAGUCAAGCUUCAUCGUCCCAUCCUAUCCCGCCUAGGCGGCCACUGGGGCCGCCACCGCCACCGUCGUUGUCUCCCCCCAGCGCUCCUACCGGCGACCCUGCUCCUCCGCCUCGGCUACUGGGGCCGCCACCGCCGCCGUCUCCCCCAGCCGCUACUACCGGCUACCCUGCUCCUCCGCCUCGGCUACUGGGGCCGCCGCCGUCGCCUCCCCAGGGUCCCCGAGAUCCUGGCUACAGACUACGUCGGCACCAAGGAGCGACAGUUCUCGAUCUAGCUCGCGUGCCGGAAAACCUUUUAACCUGCUUACCCGCAGGUUCUCUGUGAGGAACGGCCUAGUGCGACGACGACCGUAUUAGGUCCGGCCUAGACACCUCUCGGGCCGCGUCGUGGCAGAUGUCCAUAAACCGUUACAACCGAGAACCCGACGGGUUAACUAUUGAUUUCGACCACCGUUCCACCAGAGGUAGUCUCUACAGUGUCCCCGACAGUUCUUGAGGUUACCGCAACUGUAUCGGUUCGACUACUUCGUGAGCCGUUUCUUGGCGCCCUAGUUCCCGAGGCUGUUUUCCGCUGCGGCAGCUGGGCUGGAGUGACGAGUGCCUUCUCACGCUGUACGAGUAGGGCCGUCGAGACCGUCCUCAGUAUUUGUUCCUGUUACAACUACGGUAGUUUCGUUUCAUGUAGUAGCUUCGACGAUUGGUGGGUUGUCUGGGGUUCCGGCUUCUCUAAGACCGUUUCUUCCCGCACGACUAGGAUGGCCUGUAUGACCGGUUGAGGCCGUCUCACUACCACUCGAUGAAGCUCACCCACGUCUUAGAGGUCCCCAAGUACACCCUGCUCCUCUUCCACUUAGCCCUCGAGUUCUGCAUGUACUGGGCGCGGAGUUUGUACAAGACUAAUAAAUCCGUCACAUACCACGGUAUAUUUUACCUGUUAUUAAUACAUAUCAUAUAGAAACUUUUGGUCUUAACCGAGUUAAACCUUGUUACGGACGAAAUAUACUUAAAGAACGGGCGAAACGUGCGCAACGAUAUUCACGUAAUGGUAUGGAGUCGGUAUUAGUAGGAACUGUUUAUACCGUUAGUGGAAAUCAUACCUUGUCUUCUUCGUACGUGUUGGAUAAAACAGUUACUCGUUCAAAUCGUAUACAAACAUGUAACGACUAGAUCAAUCAUUCGUCUUGAGACAAUAUCAUUUUGAUCGAUCUCCUAGUGGCGUGGUGUGCAACAGUGUUGAAGUCAAAGACCUUACCAUACCAACUACCGUGAUCGGGGAGGAGUUCUACCUCCAGUACCCAAACGUCCCCCGUAUGACCUCUAAAAGUCUAAAUUAACAAACUUACAUAGAAAUAAAGUAAAGUCUAACACAGUUCAGAACACAUGAUGAGGGAGACGAGGUAGCCA